AGUGGAGCAGCCAUGCAACGGGCCUCCCGCGGGCAAUCAACUUGGUACUUCUCUUCAUUUUUUAUUCUUUUAUUUUGUCUUUGCGCUCACAUUUUUUCUUAACCUUAAGUUUUUGAUGUUAAACCAAAGCUCCCAAAUUUCUGGGUUUCUCUCUACCGCUUUUGGUAGUUUCAGUAUCCCUCUUCCGUAUCAAGCUUACAGCUUCCCAAUUUUCCUCAAUUCUGCUUGAGAUGAGGACGAUUCCCUGCAAACCAGGUUCCCCUUCCGUGGACGCACUCUUCUUAACCCCAAACGCUGCUAUUCUCGGUUGUUUAUUCUGUCUUAGCUAUCUUUCGUCCUUCCCAGCUUAACCCUAAAGUGGGUUUGGGCUUUGUUCGCACCAUCUCACCUGAUUGUUCCUUCUUCUCGGGCAUCCACUGUUUACCCCGAAAGGUCGGGCCCUGCUUCCCUGCCCUUUCACCCAGGCCGACUUCCAUCGCCCGCCCCAUUCCUUCCAUCGCUCCAUACAUCCUUGCAUGUCUUCUUCUCUUGCAUUCCCCUUGAGAUGAGGGCCCUGCUUCCUUGCCUUUUUACCUCAGUCAAUUCCAUCGCUCGUUCCCCUGUCUUGCCCUCUUCCACUAGGCCGGUGUGGCGUGAUGUUCAUUCGGAACCUAUGUAAAGGAGACAGGUAUGCCGGUUGUUCCAUCUUUACCUAUAGUCCGUAUAGAAGGCAAUGUUUCCGGAUUUAGUACUGGGUCUUGUCUAUUGUGAGGUCUCUAGCCGGGAAUAUUCUGUGCUGUGAUAUUUGGAUAACUUUACCAUGGAGCCUUUUAGUAGGAUGUGAUAUGGCCGAGUUAAAUUCUGAAGAUAGCAGAUUUGAGGCGUUGUGUAAGAGCUUGGGUCACCUAUGGUCCGACAGCGAUGUUAUUGAAGUUAAUGAUGGCAUAUCUGAAGAAAAACUAGCUGAAUGUAGGCUGACUUUGCUUGGCAAACUCUACUCUAGACCCAAUGUCAAUUUACAAGCCUUUAUCAAGACUAUGAAAUGGGCAUGGAAGAUGGAGAAUGUAGCUUGUACCUUAUUAGAACCUGGUUUCUUCUCCUUUUCCUUCAAAUCAAAUGACGAGAAGCAGAAAGUACUAGAUGCUGGCCUGUGGUCUUUUUCCAGCAACCUCCUUGUGCUCCGGCAAUGUGAUCCUGAUAUACCAGAAAUGUGUUAUGAUUUCUCACAAUGCUCCUUUUGGGUUCACUUAUUUGGCUUACCCUUCGGCCGGGUAACAACGGAUGUUGUACGGGAGAUUGCCUCGAAGAUUGGAGAUGUCUUGGAAGUUAAACUGGAAGCAAAAGGCAACAAUACUUAUAAGGUUGGGAAAGCCAGAAUUAACUUGAAUCUAGCGACGACUCUUAAAACAGGGGUUAUCAUCAACUUGGGCAACAAAAAAUUGUGGAUUGAAUUUAAAUAUGAAUGGCUACCGCAUUAUUGCUAUUUCUGUGGUCGCAUCGGACACUAUGCAACGGCCUGCAAAGAGAUACCCUACGAGACUACGAGGCUAGAGGAGGACUUACUAGGUAACUUCAGAAACUGGCUGCGAGCUGAAGUCCGGGAGAUGAGCCCAUAUGGCAAGCUCUUUUAUGGUAAAACUACCCCACUCCUUGACGCGGUAGAAAUGGUUCCAGAGUCUUCUUUUGACAUAAAUACUCAAGCAAUUCAGCAGGCCAACAUUGUGGCAGAGCAGCCUAGCCAACAUAUCCACACCCAACAACUCCUGGAGGAGAGUUCCUCUCAACAUGCCGACCAAUCCCAAUACUCUCGGGCCAUAUCUAUCAUAGAAGGACAAACACCUCAGAAGAGAGAUGGUAGAUGUUUAGAUGCGGACUCUACAAUGAUUAUAUAUAAUGAACAUCUUAAAGAAGUGGAAAAUGACAGGCAAUUGGCUUUUGAGACUGAAAGAGCCCUAACUAAGGGCAAAGGUAGAUCUACCGAGCUCCCUUCGGCUAAAAAGAGUAAGAGGUUCCGCCCGUAUGGUACUCAUCCCUCAAAGAUUAUGUUUGCUUCUAACUCAUAGCUAGUGGACAUCCCGGUUAUUGAGGAAACGAAUUCAGCAACAUGGGCUGUGGUGGCUAGCCUUAAUAAGCCACCGACUCAAUCAUGAAACUACUAAGCUGGAAUUGUCAAAGGUUGGGUUCUCCCCUGAAAAUCCAGGCUUUACAAGUCCUUGUGACUCAGGAAAGGCCAAUAUUAUAUUUUUAAUGGAAACUAAAAACCAAGAGCAAUCGGUGCAACGUAUCAGAAGACAUCUAAAGUUCCCACACAGUUUUUUGGUAAACCCAAAAGGACUUUCAGGGGGUUUGGCUCCUUUUUGGGAUGACUAGGCGACCCUUUCUUUGGAAUCGCAUUCUAAAUAUUUUCUCAAUGUACAUUGCCUUCUCAAUGAUAGUAGACAGGUUAUGCAGAUCACUUUCCUUCAUGCUCCUAAUGCUUUUUAGGAUAGGUAUUACUAUGGGAUGAGAUAUAUCGUAGAAGUACCAUAAACCAUCUUCGUUGGCUCUGCAUUGGGGAUUUUAAUGACAUUCUGUACCAUUAGGAAGAAGUGGGCAAGAGGAUGGCUGAUCAUUUUCGUCUUACAGCUUUCAGAGAUUUUCUAGAAUCAUGCUCACUAAUGGAUCUUGAGAGUAAAGGGUGAGCUUUUACAUGUUCAAACAGAAGGGAUGGCGAUGAUAACGUUAGAGAAAGGUUGGACCGAGCUCUAAGCACCAUGGACUGGAGAAUAGCCUAUCCAGAUGUAGAAGUGACAGCCCUACCAGCUAUCGGUUCUGAUCAUAGUCCUCUUCUUCUAUCAACCAUACCUACAGUGCAACGCAAGCAGAGAGAGUUCAAAUACGAAGCUUUUUGGGCUGAAGAUGAGGAUUGUGGGCGGCUUGUCAGGAAAACAUGGGAGGCUUCCAGUAAGAAGAAUAUGGCUGUGAAACUACAUAAAGUUGCAAUUCACCUAGCGGUGUGGAGUAAAAAAUGAUUCCCUAAUGCUUAUCAGGAAAUUGAAGCAAAGAAAGAUGAACUUAAAGAUCUGAUGAAUAACCCUAGAUUGCAAUAUAAUCAGAGUCGUAUUCAUCAACUCAACAAGGAGAUUGAAGCACUUUGGCAUCAAGAAGAGAUGUUUUGGGGAAUGAGAUCUAGAAUUAAGUGGCUCAAACGGGGGGAUCGAAAUACAAAGUUUUUUCACGCCACAACUAUACAACGGCGCAACAGAAACCACAGUUCCAUGUUGAUGAAUGGCGAAGGAGAUUGGGUCAGAAAUCCUGAAACUCUCAAGGACAUGACGAUCGAAUUCUUCAAAACUCUUUACACUGUAAGGAGCCCUAGGAAUAUUCAACCUAUUAUUCACCAUAUCCCCACCUCUGUUGAUACAGAUAUGAAUCUCAAACUCACUAAACCAAUUACUAUGGAAGAAGUCUAUGCUGUGACUCACCAGUUGGGCGCCACCAAAGCUCCUGGACCAGAUGGGUUGACUGGUCUCUUUUUCCAGCAGCAUAGGUAGGUAAUAGGUCCAGCAAUCCUUCGGGAGAUGCUGUUGGAGAAAUCUUCUUGAAGUGUUUUGAAGUUGACAAAACGUUUCUAUCAGUCUAGUCUGAAGGCUUGCAGACUCUGUUAUUUAAAGUCUGAAGACCUCCGAACAGCCAGACUCAAGACUCAAAGUCUAUCCUCAUUGACAAUCUCUAAUCCGUUGAAGAAAGGUUAUCCAGAACUGGAUGUUUCGUUAAGGAUUUAACCUUAUCAACUGGAGAAGAUCUCGUGGCUGGAAAAGACAUAACGGAGUCCUUUGAUUGAUCGAAGAUUGACUCGAUAAUUGAAGAUCCGGUGAUUGUCUAAAUAUUAUUGGAAGGUUCUACUUAUGGAAACCGAGAUCCUGAUUGUAUGGGCGAAUAGGAUUGAUGGACUAUCAACACGUUCCUUUAAUAGCUUGAACAAUCUUCCUAAUUGAUUCCGUCCAACGGGUAGAUUGGAGGAAUUCCUUUGGUAAGUGCCAACGGGUAUGAUGGCAUAAAGGAGUAUAUAAGGAAGACGGUCUUAGUUGUUCAAGGAGUGCGCGAUAGAAGAAUUCCAAAGUCUGAAGCUCCUUUUUGUUUAGACAAUUCCUUUGAGCGAAUACUUGUAUACAAAAGAGAGUCUAUAUUUGUGAGAAAUCUUGAGGAGGUGUUGUAGAACAUCUACACUGUGGAAUCAAGGCAAAGCUGUGCUGUAACUUCUCUUUUGUUCAUAGUGGAAUCCAGCCAAUAGGCCGUCAGUGAAGAAGAGUGGACGUAGGCUUGAUAUAAGCCGAACCACUAUAAACCGCGUGUUCAAUUUUCUCUUCUCUCAGUCUUACUUUGAUUAUCGUUUGUCUAAAAUCCAUCAACUGUCUAGUAUUGUGCGAUUGUUGAAGAAAAAUCUUUUAUAUACCUAUUCACCCCCCUCUAGGUACUCAUACUAGCAAUAUCAAUUGGUAUCAGAGCCUGUGUACUCACUUUGUUUGAAGUGUUUUACUUCAGAGUUAAAGAUCCAUGGCUAGUAUGCUAGCACCAGGGCUGAUGGAAGGGCAAAGCUAUACCAGACCACCCUACUUUGAUGGAAAGGAUUACAACAUCUGGAAGAACAAGAUGAAAGCUUUCCUACGAUCAAAGGAUCCUCUGGAAUGGGACGUUGUAGAAAAAGGAAUUACUCCUACCACUGCAUCAGUCUCUGAAAGUGGGAAAGAAACUGAUGAGACCAGCGGAAUGACUCAGGAAGAGAUAAUCAAGAGACAAGCACUCGAUGCAAAAGCAAUUUACUCCUUAUAUUGUGCUUUGUCACCAACUGAAUAUAAUAGAAUAUCUUCUUGUGUUACAGCAAAAGAAGUUUGGGACAGAUUGCAUAUCACCUAUGAAGGAACAGAUCGAGUGAAGGAAACAAGAAUCAACAUUCUUCUCGGUCAAUACGAAGCCUUCAGAAUGAAACCAGGAGAAUCUAUAACUGAAAUGUUUAGUCGUUUUACAGAUAUUGUGAAUGGUCUUGAAAAUCAAGGUCAACCAAUUUCUGAUCCCAUGAAGGUAAACAAGCUACUGCGUGGACUCUCCAAGGAUUGGAAUCACAUAAAGACUUCGAUAAGAGAGACGCAAAGAAUUAUGCCACUAUCUGUCGACGAGCUGAUUGGAACUCUUCAGUCUUAUGAAGUGGAACGGAUCAAUGAAGAUGAAGAUCCAAAAGGUAAGAAAUCCAUUGCAUUAAAAUCAAAUGAUGAUUCUGAUGAUACAGAUUCUGAAAAUGAUAUGGACGAUGAGGAGCUUGCUCUCAUGAUAAGAAGAUUCAGAAAACUGAAUAGAAAAGGAAGAAGGUUCAACUCAAAGAAACAAAGCUUUCAAAGACAGCAGACCAAGUCUGUUGAUGAUGAGGAACCAAACAAAGAUGUAGUCUGCUUUGAAUGUAAGAAAAAGGGACACAUCAGACCCAACUGUCCUCUUCUGAAGAAGAAGAAAGGAAAAGCUGAAAAAUUUCGAAAAGCUCUCAAAGCCAAAACCUGGAGUGAUACAGAGUGUGAAGAAAGUGACAAUGAAUAUGCCAAUCUAUGUCUGAUGGCACAAUCAGACUCAGACUCUGGAUCAGACUUAGACAGUGAAUUUGAGGCAAGUAAUUUUAAAAUUCCUAUCAAAGUUUCUAAAUACAUUGAUGAACUGUGUUUUAGUCUUAAGACUUCUCUCAAAAGAAUUUCCGAACUGAAAAAGGAAAACUCAGCUCUAAAACAAAAGGAAAAUGUUUUAGUAGAAAGAGUUAAAAGUCUAGACUUGACUGUUUCCACUCUUAAAGAUAAUGAAGAUAAUCUUUUAAAAGAAAAUGCUCUUUUAAAAACAGACUUAUCAAAUAUUUUAAAGAAAUUUUCAAUAGGGUCUGAAAAACUUGAAAAAAUUCUUUCAGCUCAAAGACCUUACUUCAAUAAGUCCGGUCUAGGUAUGACAGCAGAAACAAUUCCCUUGAUUGAUUUUCCUAAAGUAAAAGAAAGAAUUAAGAAAAGACUCUCAAGAGAGACUUACAAAAAUCAUUUCAAGAAAGUUUUUGUAAAAUCUGUAGGUAGAAAUGCUCUCAGAUGUUCAAAAUGCAACAGUCCAGAUCACUUUGAAAAAGAGUGUCCUAAGGUUUGGAAACCUGUUAAGAAAAUAUGGGCUAAUACUGCUUAUGUUACUAACACCAAAGGACCCAAGAAAGUUUGGGUACCAAAGAAAGCUUGAGACUUUAUUUUUAAAUGCAGGUCACCGUCAAGAAAAAUGUAAAGUGGUAUCUUGACAGCGUAUGCUCAAGACACAUGAUAGGAGACUCAAAUUGUUUUAUAAAGCUUGCUCAAGUAAAUGGUGGAAAAGUUUCAUUUGGAGGAAACAGCAAAGGAAGUAUUGUGGGAUUUGGAACUGUGAAAAUUGGAAAUCUCACAAUAAGUAAUGUUUCCUUAGUGGAAGGACUCAAUUACAAUCUUCUCAGCAUUAGUCAAUUGUGUGAUACUGGUUUCAAGAUCUUCUUUCAAGAAGGAAUAUGUUCUGGAAUCAGUAAAGACUCUACUCAGUCUUUCAUGGGUCGAAGACAUGGAAACAUCUAUCUUCUGGAUGUGAAACCAAAUGAAUCGCAAUGUUUUAUCUCAAUUCAAGACAAAGCAAGCUAUGGCACAAAAGCUUGGUCAUGUCAACAUGAGCAUAGCAAAUCUCAUCAAAACAGCUUGUUCGUGGACUACCNNNNNNNNNNNNNNNNNNNNNNNNNNNNNNNNNNNNNNNNNNNNNNNNNNNNNNNNNNNNNNNNNNNNNNNNNNNNNNNNNNNNNNNNNNNNNNNNNNNNNNNNNNNNNNNNNNNNNNNNNNNNNNNNNNNNNNNNNNNNNNNNNNNNNNNNNNNNNNNNNNNNNNNNNNNNNNNNNNNNNNNNNNNNNNNNNNNNNNNNNNNNNNNNNNNNNNNNNNNNNNNNNNNNNNNNNNNNNNNNNNNNNNNNNNNNNNNNNNNNNNNNNNNNNNNNNNNNNNNNNNNNNNNNNNNNNNNNNNNNNNNNNNNNNNNNNNNNNNNNNNNNNNNNNNNNNNNNNNNNNNNNNNNNNNNNNNNNNNNNNNNNNNNNNNNNNNNNNNNNNNNNNNNNNNNNNNNNNNNNNNNNNNNNNNNNNNNNNNNNNAUGAGAAAGGAAAAGUCGUACGAAACAAAGCAAGACUCGUGGCCAAGGGAUAUACGCAAGAAGAAGGAAUAGACUAUGAUGAGACUUACGCUCCAGUAGCAAGGGUUUGAAGACCCAAAGAAGCCAGACUCAGUCUUCAGACUGAAAAAGGCUUUGUAUGGUUUAAAGCAAGCACCUUGGGCUUGGUACAACAGAUUAAGUAAGUUCUUAAUACAAAAUGGUUUUGUCAAAGGUAAAGUAGAUACGACUUUAUUUAUCAAAAAGGAAAACAAAAGUUUCUUACUUGUUCAAAUAUAUGUGGAUGACAUUAUUUUUGGAUCCUCUAAUGAAAAUCUAUGCAAGAAAUUUUCUAAGUCUAUGCAGGAUGAGUUUGAAAUGAGUAUGAUGGGAGAGUUAACAUUCUUUCUUGGUCUUCAAGUAAAACAAUUGAAGGAAGGAACUUUUAUUUAUCAAGAAAAAUAUGUUAAUGAUCUUGUCAAAAGGUUUGGACUGGAAAAGUGCAAAAAGACCGACAUACCAAUGUCAAGUUCUUUAAAGAUAGACAAAGAUGAAGAAGGGAAGAAAGUUGAUCAAAAGCUGUACAGGAGCAUCAUUGGUUCACUUCUUUAUCUUACUACUUCUAGACCUGACAUUUUGUUGAGUGUUUGCAUCUGUGCUAGGUUUCAAUCAGAUCCUAGAGAAUCCCAUCUCAGUGCUGCGAAACGCAUCAUUAAAUACGUUGCUUCAUCAUCAAGCAUCGGUCUUUGGUAUCCUAAGAAGGGAGACUUUGAUCUUCUGGGAUAUUCAGACGCAGAUCUGGCCGGUUGCAGAGUUGAUAGAAAGAGCACUUCGGGAACUUGCCAGUUGCUUGGAAGUAGGACAGUGUCUUGGUUUUCAAGGAAACAAAGCACUGUGUCUCUUUCAACAACAGAAGCUGAGUAUGUAGCCCUUGGAAGUUGCUGUUUGCAAAAUCUAUGGAUAAAACAACAACUAAGAGACUUUGAAAUUGAAGACUCAUGCACGGAGAUUAAUUGCGACAACACCAGCGCUAUCAACCUCACCAAAAAUCCAAUUCUCCAUUCAAGAGCAAAGCAUAUAGAGAUUCGACAUCACUUUAUUAGAGACCAUGUUCAAAAUGGAGAUGUUUCAAUUCAAUUUGUUAACUCAAAGAAUCAACUGGCGGAUAUAUUCACAAAGCCUUUGGAGAAAAAUCAAUUUGAAUCUAUACGUUCCAGACUCAACAUUUUGAGGUAUGAGGAUAUCAAAGUCUAAAGACUUUCAGACUCAGACUUACAAGACUUUAUCUGAAAGAUAGUCUUGGUAUGACCGUCAGACUGUAAGUCUUUCUCUCCUUAAUCUCAUCUUGAAAAAGUACGAUCGUCAGACUGUGUUUAAAUUGUUGCUAUAUUUAAUUGACGUAAAUAUUGCAUCGUUUCAUUUUCAAAAAGGAAGUUAUUUUUGAAAUGGCUAUUUUUGCGGAAAAAGACAGUUAUUUUGAAAAGCCAUUUUUUUAUUUCCUUUGUGACGGUUCGUUUUUCCCUCUUUUUAACCGAUCGUGCACUGUCGAUUCCUCUUCACUUUACUCUCGAAAACCCUAGAAAGCAUCGAUCCUCCAUUCCCGUUUGUCUUCUUUGUUUAAUCUUCAAAAAGUUGUCAUCUUUCCUGGGAAAGUCAAGCAAGGAAUCUUCCAAAAAAACUGAGAAAGAUGUCAUCUUCAAGAAAGUCUUCAAGAAUCGCAAGCAAGGGACCACGGCGAAUGAGUGAGGGGCCUACACACUUCGAUCUUACUGAAGAAGAAGUGACUCCAGAACAGCAAGCGAGCCCACAACUUUCUCAGCAGCGUCAUUCUCCUCCAUCUAGUCCUCAAGGCGUUGAUCAUCAACAACAGGAAGAAAUCAUCGAAGAUGCAGACCCUACAAAGGACAUGGGAACGAAUAUAUCUUUCUAUGAAAAAUUGAAAGUUUGGGAAUUGCUCGUAAAGGGGUGGCUGAGGAAACCCUUGCAAAUAUCCCAAGUGAUCCUCGUGACUGGGGGCCGAAUCUUGUAGAUGGGAAUGAUGAUGACAAAUUGUACAGUCAAUUUCAACCGAAAAUGGGUGUUGCGGUUGAAAAUCAAGGAAAAAGGGGAGAUUUGUUCAGAUCGAAGGAGCAAAAGGAUCUGUACUCGAAAUUACUGAAGCGUGGGGUAAUAAACCCUAGGAGUGUGGAUUUUGAUUUUCUGGAUGCUGUGAACGUGAACUUGAGGGAAAAGUUCAGUUAUCUUCAACUUGAAAAGUUCUGCUCUGACACUACAGAGGCCUAUGCUGAAUUAACUGCAUAUUUCUAUUCAAAUCUUAGCUUUUUGGAUGCGAAUAGAUUCUCUUUCAGCGUUAAAGACCAAGACUAUGUUGUGGAUAUGAAUAUGCUAGCAGAUGUGUUAGAAGUUGAAAGAGGAAGAUAUCAACCAAUCAAAGUUUCCAUUGCUCGGGCCACACUUGAAUUGGUGAAGGACAGGAGAACAGAUGAAAAGAUCACCUACUUAAGGAUGGGUGCAUUCAACAUCUUGCUUCACAAGAUUGUGAUUAAUUGCCUCCGACCGAAAUCAACUUCCAAGACUGAUGUUUCAAGUUCAGAGGCCAAGCUGAUGUAUGCCAUUCUCUUUGGAAAAAGGUUUUCUCUCCCUCACACUGUUAUGUUUCACAUGUAUAGAGCAAUGAUGAAGGACAGAGGUCAACUCCCUUACCCAAGCCUUGUUACGAAGUUAUUCAGACAUUUGAAUAUUCAGCCUCCACAAAUCUUUUGUGUUCGACCAUGCGAUCAUAUGGUGGUAGGACUGAAAAUGGUGACCAAAAUGCGUCUGAAGGAACUGAGCAAGGAGUUGGAGAAAUUCAAGGAGAAGACUCCUGCCAAAUCUCAUCAAAUCUCUUCUGCAGCUAAAAGAAAAGGGAAGGAGCCCAUGGUUGCUCCAUCCAAGAGAAGAAGAGCUCUCCUCGUUGAGGAUGAAGAUGAUGAGGAAGACAUCACCAUCUCUGCAAUGGCUUUGAAGAAUUUAAGUCGUCCUGCUCCACAGAAAGAAUCGGAACAAAUGACGAAAGAAGCAGAGGAGAAGGAAGAAGAAGAAAGAGAAGCUGAAAAAGAAGCAGAGGAGGAAAGACCUGAAGAAGAAAGAAGAGAAGAAGGAGAACUUGAGGAACACUCUUCUCCACCUGUAGGCAUGGAAACAGGGGGAGAUCAGGAGAAAGGAGUGAAGUCUUCAUAUCCUGAUGCAAGUGAAGGAGUCAGUCGCUCACCUGCAGACCCAUAGGAUGUUUAUGCCUCUCAAUUUCCAGAAGAAGGUCAUGAAGUUUCAUCACCAAACCUGCGAGAUUAUGCUGAUCUACCAUCAUCUGCAUUUACUCCAUCAGAUCGAGCCGAAGCAAGUACUCAGACUGAUAAUGGAGCAGAUUUUCGCCGAAUCAUGGAUAUUCUCUUGGAGAUGCGAGGUCAAAUUUAUGCCUUGGGAUGCGAGGUUCAAAGCUUGAAGAAUGAAGGUCAAGCUUCUUCCUGUUCAUUGAAUGAUAAGAUGCAAGCCCUCUCUGUUCAGAAUCAGGCCAAUGCCAAGAGUGAGGAGAUUGCACAACUGAAGGAAGACUUCAAAAGGCUGGGAGGCAUCGUUCAGUCUAUGGAAGAUUUCCAGCUUGUCUGCGUUCCUAAGCAAUCUUGACUACAUCUCAUCCUUUUUAAUGAUGAAAAAAAGGGGGAGAGAUGCAAGAUUUGAUCAAAUUUUCAAUCAUUAAACUUUUAAUCGUGUGUUUUGUUGGAUUGUUUUGUUGUUUAAACUCUGUUUGACUUUGUUUUGUGUCUGGAUGAGAACUGAACUAGACUUGGACUUGACUGCUUUUAUUAACUAGUAUUGAUAUCUUAUGGAUGGCUUUGUCGUAUACAAGACUAACCUAUUUUCUGUGGUUGCAGAUUCUAGUGUUAUUCAUUUAAGCCAUUUAUCUCUAUAAGAUAUGCAUAUGUGGUUGAGAAAUGUUUUGCAGGUCAAAGUUAUCCAAAUCUGCAGGAAAGUUUUGUCACCAUAAAAAAGGGGGAGAUUGUUGGAGAAAUCUUCCUGAAGUGUUUUGAAGUUGACAAAACGUUUCUAUCAGUCUAGUCUGAAGGCUUGCAGACUCUGUUAUUUAAAGUCUGAAGACCUCCGGACAGCCAGACUCAAGACUCAAAGUCUAUCCUCAUUGAUAGUCUCUAAUCCGUUGAAGAAAGGUUAUCCAGAACUGGAUGUUUCGUUAAGGAUUUAACCUUAUCAACUGGAGAAGAUCUCGUGGCUGGAAAAGACAUAACGGAGUCCUUUGAUUGAUCGAAGAUUGACUCGAUAAUUGAAGAUCCGGUGAUUGUCUAAAUACUAUUGGAAGGUUCUACUUAUGGAAACCGAGAUCCUAAUUGUAUGGGCGAACAUGAUUGAUGGGCUAUCAACACGUUCAUUUAAUAGCUUGAACAAUCUUCCUAAUUGAUUCCGUCCAACGGGUAGAUUGGAGGAAUUCCUUUGGUAAGUGCCAACGGGUAUGAUGGCAUAAAGGAGUAUAUAAGGAAGACGGUCUUAGUUGUUCAAGGAGUGCGCGAUAGAAGAAUUCCAAAGUCUGAAGCUCCUUUUUGUUUAGACAAUUCCUUUGAGCGAAUACUUGUAUACAAAAGAGAGUCUAUAUUUGUGAUAAAUCUUGAGGAGGUGUGGUAGAACAUCUACACUGUGGAAUCAAGGCAAAGCUGUGCUGUAACUUCUCUUUUGUUCAUAGUGGAAUCCAGCCAAUAGACUGUCAGUGAAGAAGAGUGGACGUAGGCUUGAUAUAAGCCGAACCACUAUAAACCGCGUGUUCAAUUUUCUCUUCUCUCAGUCUUACUUUGAUUAUUGUUUGUCUAAAAUCCAUCAACUGUCUAGUAUUGUGCGAUUGUUGAAGAAAAAUCUUUUAUAUACCUAUUCACCCCCCUCUAGGUACUCAUACUAGCAAUAUCAGGUGCAACUCUUCUUUGAGUCCAGCUCUCUAAACCCAUCCUUGAACAAAACCCACAUUACUCUCAUUCCCAAGUCCCAAAACCCAGAAAAGUUAGAGCAAUUCAGACCCAUCAGCCUUUGUAACUUUGCCUACAAGAUCAUUUCUAAGGUACUUACCAACAUAUUAAAACCUUUACUACUAGACAUCAUUGAAGCGGAGCAAAGUGCCUUUGUGGGGAAUCGGCAAAUUCAGGAUAAUAUUUUAAUCGUACAAGAAGUCAUACACAAACUACACACUAGAGACAGAAGGAAAAAAUUCCAGACUAUCCUUAAAAUUGACAUGCAGAAGGCUAACGAUCGAAUAAAGUGGGAUUUUCUACAAGCGUGUCUACCCAAGAUGGGCUUUCGUGAAGAAUGGGUGAGGUGGGUUAUGCAGUGUGUCACAACGGUGUCCUAUAGUAUUAAGUUUAAUGGGGAGUCUCUACCAGAUUUCAAGCCUACUCGUUGUAUUUAUCAGGGUGAUCCUCUAUCUCCGUAUCUAUUUAUAAUAGUGGCAAAUGUCCUCUCUAGAUAAUGAAGGAAGCUCUCGCAGCAGACACCCUCCAUGGUAUUAAAUUAAACAAACAUUGCCCAACUCUCUCACAUCUAUUAUUUACAGAUGACUCCAUCUUUUUCUUGGAUGGUACAAUUGUGGAAUGUUAGAACUUGGCGAAUAUGCUCAACUAGUACUGUUAUGCAUCAGGUCAGGCUAUUAACCUAAAUAAAUCUGAAAUUUUUUUCAGUAAAGAUUGUCCAGAUAGCCUUCGAAGAAACAUGGUCUCAAUGCUGAGAGUCCCUGAAAUUGCUAAAACCGGAAAAUAUUUAGGGAUUCCUUCAGACUGGGGGACAUCGAAAAAGGACAUGUUUUCCUAGAUACUAGCCCGAGUAAAUAGGAAGUUGGAAAGUUGGAAAGAGAAUCUACUUUCACAUGCUGGUAAGGAAAUACUCCUCAAGUCAGUUGUGCAGGCUAUACCUCAAUAUGCAAUGUCAAUUUUCAAAAUCCCCUUAUCUAUUGUUAGAGCUAUAGAGAAGAAAAUUGCAAACUUCUGGUGGAAGAAUAACAGCAAGAUAGUUGGUCUGUACUGGAGAAAGUGGGAAGUUCUUAAACUUUGUAAGGCGGAAGGCGGUCUUGGCUUUAAGGACCUCAUUGACUUUAAUACCGCAAAGUUAGGUAAACAGGCUUGGUGGAUCUCUCAACAACUGGAUACCCUAUGGAGCCGAUUUAUGAAAGGCCUUUAUUUCCCAAAUUGUGACUUUUGGAAGGCUGGUAGAGGGUCGCGUCCAUCAUGGGGCUGGCAGAGCUUACUAGCAGGGCGAGACGCCAUAGCUCCUCAAGUGAAAUGGGUAGCAAAUUUCAAUUCAUGAGGAUAAAUGGAUGAAAAUUGGUCCGAUUGGAGGAUGUCUGAGGCAGAAUGAACCCAUCAAAGUGGCGGAUCUGAUAGAUAUUGAAGCCGCAACAUGGAGGGAAGACCUUUUGCGCUCCAUGUUUAAUGAUACCCUAGUGGCAAAAAUUAAAGCUAUCCCUAUUGGCUUGCUAAGCACAGCAAAUAGACUGGUGUGGGAAAACAACAAAUUCGGACACUAUACUAUUAAGAGUUGAUACUUUCACACCAGAAACCAAAACAGAAAGCAUAACGGUUCUCUGCCUACAACAUCUCACCAGAUUGACCAACACCUAUGGAAGCACAUAUGGCAAUCUAACAUACAACCCAAAAUCAAGUUCUUCCUAUGGAGUGCCUGUCACAAUUGUCACGCCCCGAACCUCAGGCACGCGCACAUCCUUUACAUUUGGUCGAUUUUAAAAUGCGAUAUCCCAGGACUAAGUAUCGCCGACCCUUUCAUUUUAAAUAUGCACAUGCGGAAGCAAUUAUAAAUCCCCAAACAAUAAAACAAUGUGAUAGAAAAGCAGGCCAUAUAUUUUUCUUACUGAAAAUUCACAACUACAUCUUUUUACAUGCAUCUCAUAGUAUUUUACAAUACUAUAUAUACACAACUCUGAUCUAACGUCUAUUCACAUGCAAACAAGGUCUGACAAGAUAGGACGGGAUCUCAAUCCUCAUCCAGGUCGUACCCGGGGUUAUUCUCAGGGUCCUCCUCCACGUACUCCUCUUCGGGUUCCUCAACAGGGAUCUCCUCAUCAGAUUCAUGCUCCUUAGGCUCCUCAUCCAGGUCCUGAAAUGGUUAUUCAAUAACCACUGAGACAACGUCUCAGCAAGUUCUACCCCCUAAGACCCGAUUAGUAAACCAUUAUACUAUAGGCUGCCUAAACACGCACAGGGCAGAUGACUUACCUUGGCCUCAGAUUCCACCUGCAUAUUAGCACAGUUUAAUAGGCACCCAAGCAAUCACAUCACAAAUCGAUAUCUCAAUCACUCGACCCAGUCGAUUACACGCCAACAAGACCACUCACGGUCCUUUCCAUUCAAUCAAUCAAUUCACAACAUCAAAUCAAAGUAAUGAUCAAUUGACUUAGUCGAUCACAUGUCAACACGACCCAUGCUUGGUCGGCACAUUCCAUACUAUCUAUAAAGUCCUAUCAAAUCAGGACUGCUUACCCAAAGUUGACAAUUAGAUAGUAUAGCUCGCCCAAAGCUGAUAAUAAAGUAUACUGCUCACCCAAAGCUGACAUAUCACCCGUAGGUCGAUAUAGUAUACUGGUAUACUGCUCACCCAAAGCUGAUAAUAAAGUAUACUGCUCACCUAAAGCUGACAUAUCGCCCGUAGGUUGAUAUAGUAUACUGGUAUACUGCUCACCCAAAGCUGACAUAUCGCCCGAAGGCCGAUAUAGUAUACCAUAUGCUCACCCAAAGCUGAUAAUAAAGUAUACUGCUCACCCAAAGCUGACAUAUCGCCCGUAGGUCGAUAUAGUAUACUGGUAUACUGCUCACCCAAAGCUGACAUAUCGCCCGAAGGCCAAUAUAGUAUACCCCCGAUGCUCACCAGAAGCUGCCAGCUAUACCUUUAUAGUAUGCCGAAAAUAAUCAUUUAAUCAAAUCACCAUUUUUAUCAUUUCUAAUAAAAAUACCAGUGUGGGCACACGAACGGCCUUAGCCAAAAUAAUAUAAUUUCCUUUCCACAAAACCCACAAUUAUCUGAAGUCCACCAAAACACUUUUGGUGCUGUCAACCGACACCCGGUUAUUUUCCAUUAUUAAUCAAAGAUUAUUCCAUUAAAGAAUAAUUCACAAUUUCACAAAUAAUUCAAUUCAGUACAAAAUAAAGCACAAUUAAAUAAAUGAACCGCGCCACGACAAUCAGCACCAAAUUCCGGUCGCUGGCCAUCCCAGUUGAAUUUUCGGAAAAUAAAUAAUUAAACAAUUAAUUUCGAAAAUUAAAUAAAUACAUACAAUAAAUUCGAUUUAGCAUAAUAUAAAGCUCAAUUAAAUAAACGGACUGCACCACGAUCAUCAGCAUAAAAUUUCGGUCACUGGCCAUCUCAACCUUAAUUUCCGAAAAUAAAUUAAAUAACUAAUAUUAAAAACUCAAUUUAGCUCAAAAUAAAGCCCGAUUAAAUAAAUGGACUUCACCACGGUCAUCAGCAUAAUAUUCCGGGCACUAACCAUCCCAGUUGAAUUUUCGAAAAAGAAAUAAUUAAUUAAUUUAAUUCCGAAAAAUAAUAUUUAAAUACCAAAAAUCUCACUUAUGCCCGAAUUGCCUAAUUAACACCCGAUAAGGGUCGGGAAAAAUCCCACGAAGUAUCCAAUAAAUACUAUAGGCAAUUCUCUACUAAUUACACUAAUCACACAACUAAUAUGCAAAACAAUUAACUAAUAAUCACUAAUCAAUUCUAAUCUAACAACUUAAUUACACUUAAUUAACACUAAUCAACCUUUAAGUAUAAUUAGUACACUAAGAAGGCAUCAGUGAGUAAAACUCACUCAAAACGAUGGGCUCGACGCGAGGAUCGACUUUCCUCAAAGUGGGCCGAGCAUCCGGGCUCGGGAAGGUGGCCAAAACGGGCCAAAACCCCACUGUCAUACCCAUUUCUGCAACCCUCUGAUCGCUGCUUGCAGGGGCGGUUCCGGCGUCAGAUGAGGUGGCCAAGGGCGGCUGAGGGCGAGGCGGAGCUCCGGCGAGGUUGACGGUGGCUGGAGGAGGUCGGGUGGCGGCCUGAGGUGGCCAAACGAGACCAACCAGAGGUGAAACAGAGGCUGGGCAGAGGAGGUAGCUCGACUUGACGAGGCGAACGGCGUUCGAGCGGGCGAGAGGGAGACGAACGGCGGCGAGGCGGCGUGCGGCGGCAAUGGCAGCUCCGGCGCGAUUGCAGCUCCUUCAAGCAACGCCGAUCGUUGCUUCUACUUUUGCUGGUCGGUUCUAUUCGAACUAGAGGGAGGAGAGGGAGCGGAGAUGCGUGGACGGUAGCAUUGCGGCGGGCUCGGCGCGCGAGCAGCUCCGGUGCUUGUGGGCGUGCAAUGAUGACGGCGAGAGGCGGCAACGGGUGGAGCUGCUGCUGCUGCUUCGGCUUCUUCGGUUGUUGCUGAAGAAGAAACCCCAAAGAAAGGGGAAGAAGAUGGAGAUGCAGGGGAGAGAGACAGCGACGAGGAAGAAAAGGGGGAACCGGUUUCCCCUUUUUCCUCUCUCACUCUCUCUCUCUCUUAUGUCAUCCGCACGUGGGCCACCAUGGGCUGCCCUCCACUCACAAUUCAAAGACAAAUUUGCCCCUUCUAGAAGCAUUUAGGUAGGCCAAAAUAUGGGGUAGAGGUGGCAUACGAAUUUUGCUAAUUUUUCUUCCCAAUUGGACCUUAAUCCCUCUUGAUUCAAUUUAAAUUGACUCCCAUAAUUUCAUUGAAUCACCUCGUCAUUCCAAUUGGUAUUUUUCCCUAUCAAUAUAGCCCACUUGCAUCCCAAUUUCACAAUCCCUAGCUUCAACUCAACAAAAACGGCCCUAUUUAUCCAAUCGAAAUUAGAACCCGAAAAUCUGGAUGUCACAACAAUGCUCUGCCUACUUUAGAUAAUCUCUAUAGAAGGAAGAUUGUACCUGCUCCAUUGUGCCCACUCUACCAUCUAGAACCGGAGACUAUCGAGCACACCUUGCUGCUUUGCCCCUGGACCUCUCAAAUAUGGACUAAACCUAUCCUACAAGUCCAAAUUAACAGAAUGGGCCUUACAUGUUUUUAUGACUGGUUGAGCAAGUUUAUAGCUAGACCAGCGACAUCACGUCGUUUUGAGCUGGUUGCAAAUGUCGUAUGGUGCAUUUGGAAGGAUCGUAACCACUUCAUUUUUAGGAAUAGCCCACUCAAUCCUCAUCAAACUCUGUUUAAAGCUACAAUGCUCCAAACAAGCUUUACAACAUGGAAUGCCAAGGCGCACAAAAGAAUGCAAGAUCAAGCCAUACCUUGCAAGUGGUAACCACUGCCCCCAGGAACCCUCAAAAUCAAUAUUGACGCUUCGUUUGACAUUGCCUGCAUAGCCAACACUUCCACUGAAUUUCACAAUCAAAACUUGAGGUAUGUUGAUGACAAUGGUGCAAAUUCUGACCUGGGUUUAGCUUCAGCUUGCCAAGAUGCACUGGCCCAACAGAGUGAUCCCCUAAUCUUUCCCCCCAUGUUGAUUGACAAGGUGGCUGACAAAGACCCGGUAAACGUCCCAAAGGAACCACUUUUUGUUUGGAUGGUUAGUGAAUAUAGAGAUGUGAUGCCUUAACUAGACAUGAGCAACAACUUGAACACCAGCAGAGCCCCACCCAAGCUGCUAGGCCGUGUUCGAGCGAUCGAUCAUGGAAAACGUCCUCUGGAUAGUAGUCCAACUGAUAUCUGUCCUGCAGCAGUUAUACAUCUAAACAUCACUAGUAGCUAUUCUGGAGCAUAUAACCGGGAACGAGAUCACAAAAGGAAGCCCCACAGUUAUGUUUCCCCUGCCCUGUACACCAGCACGCACGAAAUAACUAGAGCUUGUUCCCACCUCAUAUGCACAAACAAAGUAGUAAGAUUUGAAUCAACUCACCUUGGCCACGAUAGAUUGAAGGAACCGCAGAUGUCCAAGCUGAUUAACUGUUGUCCCUGCACAUGUUUGCCUCGGUUGCUAAGCUCCUACGAUGAGCAUGAUUAUGGCAACCUCCCCUUAUCCAGUGACAUCAAAGCUGACAGACCGGUUGGAUCUACAAAUCCAACCCCUGAAAUCAGAUCUAUGGACUUAGUCGACACGAAAACGCAGCAGAACUGUAAUUGCAGGGAAAAAUCCCCUCAUCUCAGGAUUAGUGACUUGGAAGAGAGGAUUAAGGACAAAUGUUACCUAAACAGCAGCGAUGUAGAUCAUGGCCUAUCCCGCGCCAGUCCUUCCCUGCACAGUUCAGAUCUAAGCCAUCAGAUCCAUCGCUACCUCUAUAUAGGGUCCAAAGAAAUACCCCCUUCCUGUGCCAAGCUAGAUGGCGAUAACCUCCCCAUUACCCGAGAUACCCAGGCUAAUCGAUCUGUUUCUUUUUCAAACACUAAUCACGAUUUCAGAUCCUCGGAUAUUGUCUCACCAACUCUGCAUAUGGACAGCAGAAGCCAAAACAAAGCCCCCCCCCUUUCGGAUCCAGUAGAUCGGGUGAGAAGCUUUAGGCCAGGUUCCUCCCUAACAACAGCCACACCGAAGACGGACUCGCUGCCUCUCCCGGUCAUGCUCUCUUCGAGUGCCAGACUGAAGGUUGCCCAAAUCUAGAACAGGAUCUCGAUCUACCUAGACGAAAGGACGAUCGUCUCUCUAGCACUUCACAACCACGGCGCUCUUCUCCUCGGGCUGCUAUUGCCUGCGUCUGUAGAGAUUCCGUUGGCAGGAUGCAGGGUGGGGUUACUAAACAUAUUGAGGUUAGUUCAGCGGAGCAAGCGGAGGCCUUAGCUUUGGUGGAAACCCUAGACUUUAUGUUGACGCCUAAAAUUAGUUAGGUUUUAUUUAGCUUUAUUUAAUUUUACUUUAUUUUAUUUUAUCUUUUCCGGAUAAUAAAUAACAAAGAAAAACAGAAAAAAACAGAAAAAAGCAGCCUCCGCAUGGGCCUUCGGCCCAUCUCCGCCUCAGCCCGGUCUGGCCGAGUCUUCUUCCUCCUUGCGCCACUGUAACGCACGCGCGUGCAGGCGCGACGCCGGAGAGGGAUGGACAGACGGCAUCGCACGUGGAGCGGGGGAGCAGUUGGCGUCGACGCGACGUGACCGGAGGAGGAGAUGAUGGCGGAUGGGACGGCGGCCCAACCGGCGGGUCGAAGCCUCGCCGACCGGCCGCUCCCGCGCCUAUAAAUAGAGGGGGGUCACCGUCGACGAAGGGCAGACACAGAGAGAAAGGAGGAGAAAAGAGGGAGGCGGCCAAAGCUCGGGGUCCCUGAGAGACUUCGGGGAGUUUGAGCGUAGGGUCGGCCGUGGCGUGGUGAGCUCGGAGGGGUCCCCGAGAGACUUUGGGGAGUUCGCCGAGCGAGCCCGAGGGAGAGAGAGGGAAACUCGGCGACAGAUCCGGCCAGAUCUGACCGUCCAAGAUCCACCGUCGCCGUCGUUGUCCGCCGCAGUCGUUGCCAUCAGUCUGCCAUUACCCUUGUUGCCGUCGCCUUUGCCGCGCCAUUGCCGAGCAGGUAUUGUGCCGUCACCAUCGUCGUCGCCCUUGCCAUCUCCUUCUCCGUAAGACCGGUCAUCAUCGCCGUCGCCGCCGUCUUCGCCAUCUUCGCCGCUGCUCCUCUUCGGCGCCCCCAUUUCGGAACCCUAGGGUUCCCGAUUUUCCGGGUCGCGAUCCCUGGUCAUCGAGUCGGACCCGGAUCGGGAACCGGGUAGGGAUUCCNNNNNNNNNNNNNNNNNNNNNNNNNNNNNNNNNNNNNNNNNNNNNNNNNNNNNNNNNNNNNNNNNNNNNNNNNNNNNNNNNNNNNNNNNNNNNNNNNNNNCGGGUCGGGUCGGGUGUUGGAGCCGAGUCGGGUUGGGAGUCGGGUCGGACCCGGGUAGGGUUUCGCUAGGAACCCGGGUCGUCGGGCCGGGCUGGGCGUACCCAAACGCCCGGCCACGGCAUCGUUUUGAAAAAAAAAGAAGAGAAAAAGCAGAAAAAUCCGAGUCGGGCCCGCAACGCGGGCCCGUCCGCGUUUGGGUCGCCGGCCCGGGUCGGACCCAACCCGCGGAUUCGACCCGGGCCGGUUUUGUUUUAUUAUUUUAAUGUAAAAUAGUAUUCUAAUAAAUAAUAAAUAAAUAAUUUAUUUUCAAAAAAAAAUCAAAAAUGUUUUAAUUUCCAGAAAAUCGAAAAAUAUUUAAAAAAUGUUGAAAAAUGUUUUAGUUUCUAAAAAAUCGAGAAAAAUCAAAAAUAGUUUAUUUUCCAAAAAUAUUUUGAAAAAUAUUAAAAAUAUAUUUUAUUUUCCGAAAAAUAAAAAAAUCAAAAAUAUUUCAUAUUUUCCAAAAAAUGCCAAAAAUCCAUAAAAAGCUAAAAAUUCAUGAAAAAGCCAAAAAUACUUCUAUUUUUCCAAAAAUACCAAAAAUCCAAAAAGCCCCUUUUAUGUCCAAAAAUUAGAAAAUGACUCAAAAAAAAUGUUUUUCCUCCCAAAAAUGCAUGGAAAAUCCCUCGAACAUCCAAAAAACCUUAGGGUUUAAACAAGAUUAGGUACCGAAAGGGCAUUAGUGAUUAACUAGUGUAAUCAAGUCCCCGAUCCUAAUUUCUCUGGUUGCGUAGGAGUGAGUAUUUCUCCCGAUACUUCACUUGGGUUUCUAAUCAACCCACCCCAAAUCGAUUAGUGGCGACUCCAAUUUAAAAAUUAAUUUACAGGUUAAAAACUCAGACCAUUAAGUCGUGAAUUGGUGGACUUGGGAGAGUCCGGGCUUAACUAAUUCCAGCCGAGCCAUUAGCCUCCUUAGGCGCUCGCACCCGAUUGCGGGCGCCGGAAAAAAAGAGGUCGCGACACUUUAUUUCUUCUACGCUCUCCCCAAAUAGUAUAGAAAAAAAAAAUUCCUGCUUCAGUCUGAUUGCUGUACACUGGUGGAGAGUGUUAUCACCUCAGCUCCGUCAAGUUGGCCUGUGCAACCUAUAGUGGACCGAGCAAAACAGAAAAUGGCGAGUAUAUCGGGUCUUAGUUUAGCCUACUGUAAUCGUGCCACCAACACGGUGGUUGAUUGGUUAGCAAAAGCCCACCGUUGGGGUUGUCUACCUAGGAACUGGAUUACCAAUCCCCGCUCUACUCUUUUAGAUUUACUUUGUACUGAUGUCCAUGCUGUAUCUGCUUCGAAUUUCAGUCAGUAAUGAAUGCAGCUUAUUUGUCAAAAAAAAAAAAAACUUUGAUGUUAUUCUUGAUAAGUCAUGCUUUUGCUUUUAAACUUUUCAACAAAACUUUGUUCGGCUGUAAUGCUACUUUUGAAGAUUCAGAUAAGACAUUUCCUACAUCCAUGAGUUGUCAUGAUUGUUAAGUUAGAGUUUCCCUUGCCUUGAGCUUAAUCUCGUUCACUUCAAUCAGAUAUUCCACUAUUUUCAUGUCUGAGAUACAAAUUGCUCAAGAAAUAAGAUUUCAGUUUUUUAAGUCUUUCGGGAUUCAAUAUUUCACUUUUAAUUUUUGUCUGAAAGACCUAAAGUGGAAGGGCCAAUUUAUGCCCAUUGGGGUGAGCCAUUGAAUAACCUUCUAUCUCCUAGAAUACAAUCAAUUGUGCUCAGAUGUUUUUUGUUUUUUUGUUUUUUUUGGGCAGAACGUGAUGACGAAUUGCCCCGUAGAUAUUGUCCACCAGUUCAUUAUGUAGUGAAGAUAAGUUCAGUUACGAAUUAUUAAAAUUGGACACCUAUGAAACCGGUAUUUUUAAAGCUGGGGCUACGACUGGUGAGUUAUCGAAUUUCCCUUUUGUUUCAUAUAACUCAAUGCUCGUAUCAUUUGGAGCCCUAAUGAACUCAAUCAAGAGAUACAAAGGUCAAUCAAUUCAUAGCUAAAUUAAACGUUUAAUCCGUCCUUUUCAAGAGCCUAUAUCUUCACCCCCAAGGGAUACAGGGACCGUGAGGGGAAGGUAUAUAUGUCCUUAUAUCUGUCAAUCGAGAAGCCAAGCCAAAUAAGCUUGGAGACCAUGGGAAGGUCGUGGUCAACUUCAAGUUUUUCGUAUUCGACAACAUUUGUGGGACCUACGUCACCUUCAAAGGUCGAUCAUCGUGUAUCAUGAUCAAUGACAAUGAAAUCACACUCCCGGUAAUGUCAUCAUAGUUUAGAAUUGACAACAAAGUUUAUAUCAACUUGUGGAAUUGUGUGUGCAGAGUAAGGGAAGGAACUGACGGCAUUCAGAAUAGCAAAGACCCAAUGGGGGCUUUCUAAGUUCCUUUCCUUGGGAAGUUUCAACAAUCCUGAACAUGGAUUCCACAAGGUCGAUUAUUGCAAAUUUGGGGCUGAGGUUGUGGUCAGCAAAAGUGAGAGGAAAAAGGAGACCCUUACCAUCGUCAAAGAUCCGCCUCACAACAAAACCACUUGCAAGAUCCCACAGUUCUCCACAUCGAACAACGACCCUUUGUAUUCCGACGCCUUUACCCUCGGAAGGAGGAAUUCGUACAUUCCCAAAACGAAAAAGUUGGUGAGGAAAUGGAAUUAGCUACUUGCCUUUUGCCUCUUUUUAAAUUUCAGAAAUAAAUACACGACAAGUCCUAAAAUUUGUCACAAAAAUAUAAUUAAGUUAUAAAACUUUUAAAAAGUUUGAUUAAGUCCUUAAACCUGCUAAGUUGGUGCAUUCAAGUUCUCUCAUCAACUUUGUUAAAUUUGAUAAAUGAAAAAUGCUAAUAAAUUUUAGAAAAUGUUAACAGGAUUUAGAAUUUGAUUGCACUAAUUUAACAAGUUUUAUGACUUGAAUACAUUUUUGAAAGUUUUAGGACUCAAUUGCACUUUCAUGAUAAAUUUUAGGAUUUCAUUGCACUUUUUUUUUAAAAAAAAAAAUUUUAGGAUUCAACUAUACUCUUGUGAACUUAUAUAUAACUAUACUCUUGUGAAAAGUUUUAAAAUCCGCUAAAACUCAUAUUUGUUUUAAUUAUGAUUAUCGUGUGUAGGAAGUUAAAGGUGUUUCCCCAGCGCAAUGGGGCGCAGGAGGGGAAGUCACUGUUCCUUUACUUACAAGCGCAGGCCUUCCUCUAAGGAUCAAAAUGUAUGUAAAAGCCAAAUUGCGGCUGUUGAACAAAAACGACCCUAGAAACGAUAAGGAAAAAACAGAUCGGAUGAGUCUAGAAAUUGAUUGCUUAUCUCUUGUUGAGGCAAUACGAAACCCUAAUAUGCCGCCAUGGAAAAUCAGACCUCUGAUUGAAGAAUGCACGGCAAUGCUUCCUCGAUGCCCUAAUCUUCAGAUAGCUCACUGCAAGAGGGAAAUGAAUAUGGUAGCAGACCGGGCCGCGAAGGCCCAUCGGCUUCUUUACUUCCUCCGGAUUGGGUUCACAAUCCUCCUUUGUUUUUGCGUGACCUGUUGUAUUAUGAAAUUAUGCAAAACGCUACUUCUAAUAUGCGUUAGUAAUAAUAUUAUCUUUUUCAGAACCAAAAAAAAGAAGAAGGAAAAAACAGCUAUUUUUUUAUUUUCUUUUUCUCUGUAACUGCUGUGUCUAGAUUGAGUUUUACUUUCUUUGUCUUUUAAAAAAAACAAUCAAUCUCUUACGAUGCACACACAAACGGGCUUACGCAUAUAUAUGUAAGUAUUACCAUACAUACAUCCUGCACAAAUUAAAAAGAAAACUAUGCAGAAUUUUUCCAAGAUCUUUAUAAAUGAAUAUCAUUCUUAUUUAAAGGAAAAUUUCCAAGUGGCUUUUAGGAAAGGGCUCAAAGCCCAAUCUAUUUGGCUUCCCAAACUUUGAGUAUCAUAACAACAAUCCAGAUAAGCAGACGAAUAUCUCCUUUUGAAAGAAUAAUGCUAUGUCUCUUCAUCGUUCCACAUUGAGUAUGAGUAUGCUAAUUAGAUAUGGCUACCUCUAUGAUUUAACAAAAAAAAAAAAAGAUUAGUACUCUAAAAAACUUUAAACUGAUAUACUUAUGACAAAUUUUCUUAAAACUACUUUUUUGAUUACCAAAACCUCUAAACUUGUACAUUAGCGAUAAAUUUAUCAAAAAAACCCCCAAAUUGGUCACUUGCUAGCUUCUAUUAAAUUUUACUAUGAAAUCAUUGAGUUGGAUAACACAUGGCAACUCCACAUGAAAAUUCAUAUAAAUUUGAGGUAAAUUAGCCACAUAUGUAUUAAUUUGGGAUUUUUUGUGAUUCGGAAAUAAGUUUAAGGCUAAAUUUGUCACUUAUGUACUAAUUUAAAGUUUUUCGUGAUAUUAAUUUUUUUUAAAAAGAACUAAUUAGUAUUUCUUUCGGGGCAUUGCAGUUAGUGGUUGGCUAUCUGCCAAAAAUUACAACUACGGUCGCCCAAACUUUAUGCCGUGGGGAGAUCUCGAGAAACCGAAUGGAGGGUUCGUUAACAAGAAAGAACUGGCAUUCGCAGUCGAAAUUUUCGUCAUAUCAGAUGUUGCGUGGUGUAAUGAAUCGGUUUGAUGACUUAACGUCGAUCUUUAUUGGGUCAGAAUUACUCCUCGAGAGCAAAGUGUGCGGACCAAAUUGGCGUAGACAAUGGUUCCCCCGAAAUCCUGUGAAUAUCUUCCUGAUUUGGUUUCUGAUUUGAUUAUUAGAUGGAGCGUUUGAUGCACCCAAGCUCCAGAUUUGUGUAUGGAAGAUACCUGGUAUGUCCACAAC
This 24689-nucleotide long non-coding RNA is filed under the name Eucalyptus grandis. RNAcentral describes it as "long non-coding RNA (EGRA_LNC002368)". Lineage: Eukaryota; Viridiplantae; Streptophyta; Magnoliopsida; Myrtales; Myrtaceae. The record is from RNAcentral.